This is a non-coding RNA of Pelobates cultripes (western spadefoot toad), 378 nucleotides long. The record is from the annotation of a GenBank genome assembly. NCBI's taxonomy places the organism in Eukaryota, Metazoa, Chordata, Amphibia, Anura, Pelobatidae.
GUCCUUUAACUCGUUGCAUAGGCUGUAAUUGCUUUCAUAGGUGCUUCAACUAUGACGUAACAAGUUUUGCACACCUUGAUUUGGGUAGUUUCUGCCAUUCAUCUCUACACAUCAUCUAAGAGGAACAUAAACAUGUAUUCUUGACCCUAUAACGUUAAUAACACUAUCUAGCCUCCCUGGCCCCCUAAAAAUAUAGUAAAGUCUUACCUUUAUUCCAGUCUGCUGGUGCCAACUGUGCCCCUGAUCUGCCUUCUUGGCUGACAAUCAGAACUGAUUAUCUCAGCCAAUCUCAACAGGAAAGCAUUGGAUUGGCUGAGAUUGUCAAUUUUGAUAAUAUCUUUUUUUAUUUGAAAAAAGGAAGUAGAGACAACGUUUGGC